AUGAGCAUGGAGGCUGCCAUCUCCGCCGAUGAUGUCAUGCACGCCGGCGGCUUGGGCGCCAAAGACGACAUCGGCAGCCUCCUACCAACGGCGAUGGACUCCACCGACUUCGAGGCCUCGUUGCGGGACGCCCGCGACUAUGAAGGCGAGAAGGAGCAACCGGCGCCCUGGGCUGGGUUACAGGGCAUCAGAAGCUCGGGAAUCAAGCCGUCGGACGCGCCGCAGCAGUGA
Molecule: ribosomal RNA, 231 nt
Filed under: Triticum aestivum (bread wheat)
Lineage: Eukaryota; Viridiplantae; Streptophyta; Magnoliopsida; Poales; Poaceae
Description: partial small subunit ribosomal RNA
Source: RNAcentral